ACUCCUACGGGAGGCAGCAGUGGGGAAUAUUGCACAAUGGGGAAACCCUGAUGCAGCCAUGCCGCGUGUGUGAAGAAGGCCUUCGGUUGUAAAGCACUUUCAGUAGGGAGGAAGGUAGUGUAGUUAACACCUGCAUUAUUUGACGUUACCUACAGAAGAAGCACCGGCUAACUCCGUGCCAGCAGCCGCGGUAAUACGGAGGGGUGCGAGCGUUAAUCGGAAUUACUGGGCGUAAAGCGCAUGCAGGCGGCCUGUUAAGUCAGAUGUGAAAGCCCGGGGGCUUAACCUCGGAAUUGCAUUUGAAACUGGCAGGCUAGAGUCUUGUAGAGGGGGUAGAAUUUCAGGUGUAGCGGUGAAAUGCGUAGAGAUCUGAAGGAUACCAGUGGCGAAGGCGGCCCCUGGACAAAGACUGACGCUCAGAUGCGAAAGCGUGGGGAGCGAAACAGGAUUAGAUACCCUGGUAGACUGUCA
This 471-nucleotide ribosomal RNA is filed under the name uncultured bacterium. RNAcentral describes it as "bacterial SSU rRNA". It matches the Rfam family "Bacterial small subunit ribosomal RNA", at positions 335 to 802 of the family's 1533-position model. The record is from RNAcentral.